UCGUUCCUACGGGGCGCAGCAGUGAGGAAUAUUGGUCAAUGGGCGGAAGCCUGAACCAGCCAAGUCGCGUGAGGGAUUAAGGCCCUAUGGGUCGUAAACCUCUUUUGUCAGGGAGCAAGGUCGUCCACGUGUGGGCGUAUGGAGAGUACCUGAAGAAAAAGCAUCGGCUAACUCCGUGCCAGCAGCCGCGGUAAUACGGAGGAUGCGAGCGUUAUCCGGAUUUAUUGGGUUUAAAGGGUGCGUAGGCGGGACCUUAAGUCAGCGGUAAAAUUGUGGUGCUCAACGCCGCAGAGCCGUUGGAACUG
This 305-nucleotide ribosomal RNA is filed under the name uncultured bacterium. Its description in RNAcentral is "bacterial SSU rRNA". It matches the Rfam family "Bacterial small subunit ribosomal RNA", at positions 333 to 635 of the family's 1533-position model. The record is from RNAcentral.